This is a long non-coding RNA of Felis catus (domestic cat), 855 nucleotides long. RefSeq lists it as uncharacterized. Lineage: Eukaryota; Metazoa; Chordata; Mammalia; Carnivora; Felidae. The transcript has 2 exons. The record is from RefSeq and is a predicted model, not a curated record.
UGCUCUUCCUCUCUCUCUCUGUCUCUGAAAAAUAAAUAAAACAUUAAAAAAUUUUUUUUUAAUCCUACGCGGGCAGGACAGACCCAGAAGUGUAAAGGAGACAAGGGAAUAUAGCAAAGUUGGGUUACUCUAGACAGUAAGGCAUGGUUUUGGUUCAGUGUCUAGGCUGAGUAUGGGGUGGGCGAUUGGGGGUCUCACUCAGAAUGAGUGAUUUCUCUUCAGCCUGGUGCCUUCCUGACUGGCCUGCCUCUGCUGACACAGACAUGCUCAGACAUGUCUGAGUUAUCCAAUGAGUAUAGUCCAGAGUCAGGUAAGGAGACUGAUGUCCUAAGGUCUCCUCCUAUCAUGGUAAGAAGACCCUGUUUUUCCUGGGGUAGAAAUAAUCACAUUGCUGCCCUGAAUUGGGGGUCUUUGCUUGCAGACAAUGGACUGUUACAAGAAUGGGAUGGGGGACGGGCAGGCAGGAGAAGAGAGAGAAGGCAGGGUCGCUGGAAGACCAUCUCUAUUACUGAGGUGGCAUGGGGGUGGGGUGGGGGGAGGGUUGUUGAGAAAGAACAGAUUUCUCCAACAGCCUUUUCAGUGGAAACAGAAAGACCCAGAAUGUGGUGGUGACUUCACAGUGUUUGAUUGCCAUGGAAACUUGGGUAAUUUCUAAAGCAGCUUCAAAAGCUUCCAUCUCUAUGUCUCUUCUAGGAUGUUCUUACAGAGAUCCUGUCCCAUACCACAUGUCUUGACUUGGGCCUUGGAAAAUACACUCUCCCUAUCUAUAGAAGCCAUCAGAAGAUCAAGGAUGUCCAAGAUGUGGCUGUGAAAGAGGGGAGCCCAUUGCCACAUUAAUGAACCAUUAGAACCCGU